GUACACUCCUACGGGAGGCAGCAGUGAGGAAUAUUGGACAAUGGGUGGAAGCCUGAUCCAGCCAUCCCGCGUGCAGGAAGACGGCCCUAUGGGUUGUAAACUGCUUUUAUCUGGGGAUAAACCUACUUACGUGUAAGUAGCUGAAGGUACCAGAAGAAUAAGCACCGGCUAACUCCGUGCCAGCAGCCGCGGUAAUACGGAGGGUGCAAGCGUUAUCCGGAUUUAUUGGGUUUAAAGGGUCCGUAGGCGGACUGAUAAGUCAGUGGUGAAAUCCGACAGCUUAACUGUCGAACUGCCAUUGAUACUGUUAGUCUUGAGUAAGGUUGAAGUGGCUGGAAUAAGUAGUGUAGCGGUGAAAUGCAUAGAUAUUACUUAGAACACCAAUUGCGAAGGCAGGUCACUAAGUCUUAACUGACGCUGAUGGACGAAAGCGUGGGGAGCGAACAGGAUUAGAAACCCCAGUAGUCCAUGAU
This 473-nucleotide ribosomal RNA is filed under the name uncultured organism. RNAcentral's name for it is "partial 16S ribosomal RNA". It matches the Rfam family "Bacterial small subunit ribosomal RNA", at positions 331 to 801 of the family's 1533-position model. The record is from RNAcentral.